This 528-nucleotide ribosomal RNA is filed under the name Enterobacter hormaechei. RNAcentral describes it as "bacterial SSU rRNA". It matches the Rfam family "Bacterial small subunit ribosomal RNA", at positions 1 to 522 of the family's 1533-position model. The record is from RNAcentral. Lineage: Bacteria; Pseudomonadati; Pseudomonadota; Gammaproteobacteria; Enterobacterales; Enterobacteriaceae.
UGGAGAGUUUGAUCCUGGCUCAGAUUGAACGCUGGCGGCAGGCCUAACACAUGCAAGUCGAACGGUAACAGGAAGCAGCUUGCUGCUUUGCUGACGAGUGGCGGACGGGUGAGUAAUGUCUGGGAAACUGCCUGAUGGAGGGGGAUAACUACUGGAAACGGUAGCUAAUACCGCAUAAUGUCGCAAGACCAAAGAGGGGGACCUUCGGGCCUCUUGCCAUCGGAUGUGCCCAGAUGGGAUUAGCUAGUAGGUGGGGUAACGGCUCACCUAGGCGACGAUCCCUAGCUGGUCUGAGAGGAUGACCAGCCACACUGGAACUGAGACACGGUCCAGACUCCUACGGGAGGCAGCAGUGGGGAAUAUUGCACAAUGGGCGCAAGCCUGAUGCAGCCAUGCCGCGUGUAUGAAGAAGGCCUUCGGGUUGUAAAGUACUUUCAGCGGGGAGGAAGGCGAUAAGGUUAAUARCCUUGUCGAUUGACGUUACCCGCAGAAUAAGCACCGGCUAACUCUGUGCCAGCAGCCGCGGUA